GCGCCCGUAGCUCAGUUGGUAGAGCACUCCCCUUUUAAGGGAGUUGUCAUGAGUUCGAGCCUCAUCGGGCGUGCCA
Molecule: transfer RNA, 76 nt
Filed under: Alphaproteobacteria bacterium
Lineage: Bacteria; Pseudomonadati; Pseudomonadota; Alphaproteobacteria
Also listed under: 1 other name
Description: tRNA-Lys
Rfam family: tRNA
About the family: Transfer RNA (tRNA) molecules are approximately 80 nucleotides in length.
Source: RNAcentral